Molecule: unclassified non-coding RNA, 274 nt
Filed under: uncultured Ascomycota
Lineage: Eukaryota; Fungi; Ascomycota
Description: sequence contains ITS1
Rfam family: 5.8S ribosomal RNA (bases 1-103)
Source: RNAcentral
GAAAUGCGAUAAGUAAUGUGAAUUGCAGAAUUUAGUGAAUCAUCGAGUUUUUGAACGCACAUUGCGCCCCUUGUAACUGAUGGGCAUGCCUGUUCGAGCGUCAUUUAAACCCUCAGCGCCAGCUGGUGUUGGGCCACGCCAUCCCGGCGGGCUCGAAAUUCAGAGGCGACGUGCCAACCGACAGUGGACAAGAGUCUGGCUCCGGUUGCAACACGUCCGCCAAAGAUCAUACAUUUUUGACCUCGGAUCAGGUAGGAAUACCCGCUGAACUUAA